RNAcentral lists this ribosomal RNA (301 nucleotides) under uncultured bacterium. Its description in RNAcentral is "partial 16S ribosomal RNA". It matches the Rfam family "Bacterial small subunit ribosomal RNA", at positions 509 to 808 of the family's 1533-position model. The record is from RNAcentral.
CAGUCGCCACGGUAAUACGUAGGUCCCGAGCGUUGUCCGGAUUUAUUGGGCGUAAAGCGAGCGCAGGCGGUUUGAUAAGUCUGAAGUUAAAGGCUGUGGCUCAACCAUAUUUCGCUUUGGAAACUGUCAAACUUGAGUGCAGAAGGGGAGAGUGGAAUUCCAUGUGUAGCGGUGAAAUGCGUAGAUAUAUGGAGGAACACCGGUGGCGAAAGCGGCUCUCUGGUCUGUAACUGACGCUGAGGCACGAAAGCGUGGGGAGCAAACAGGAUUAGAUACCCCGGUAGUCCCUGUCUCUUAUACA